ACCAGCUUUGGUCUUCAUUUGAGCACCUGGACCCAUGGGGACCCGUGGAGGCGCUCUACAAGAGGAGCACAGAGCUGGGCCUUUUCCUCGUGGUGAUUUACCUGUGGAGAACACUCAGGAGGUGCCGCAGCAGAGAGGAGAGGAGCCAGGUACUCUCAGCUGCCCCAGAGACACACUGCCAGAACAGCUCCUGCAAACACUGCAAGCUGCUCCGCCAAAUGAAGGCAAACCCUGCCUUCAUGGAGAUAUACCUACAGCAUGUGAGACACAUGCAGGAGGAUCUUUGCAGGAGGCAAGAGAAGGCAAAGCCGUGAGAAGAUGGGGAAGAAAACAGAGACUCUUCUCUGCAUACCGGCACAAGCAUAGCUCCCAGGUAGCUCCAGAGCAGCUGUAAAGUGAAGGGGAUCCGGCCAGAGACACCACCACUGUGCAUAGGGAGGGCACUGCUACAGGACAGGAAAGGAGCAGGAAGCUGUCCAGCUCCAGAAGCAACAAGGCCGGAAGGAAAGAGACCCCUAAGACUGCUCAAUAUUGCUGUAUGCUUCUAGAAUAAAUGUGCUUGCUUUUAUUACAUCAAAA
This is a long non-coding RNA of Gallus gallus (chicken), 579 nucleotides long. RefSeq lists it as uncharacterized. The record is from RefSeq and is a predicted model, not a curated record. NCBI's taxonomy places the organism in Eukaryota, Metazoa, Chordata, Aves, Galliformes, Phasianidae. The transcript is spliced from 2 exons.